UGGGGAAUUUUGGACAAUGGGGGAAACCCUGAUCCAGCCAUCCCGCGUGUGCGAUGAAGGCCUUCGGGUUGUAAAGCACUUUUGGCAGGAAAGAAACGUCAUGGGUUAAUACCCCGUGAAACUGACGGUACCUGCAGAAUAAGCACCGGCUAAUUACGUGCCAGCAGCCGCGGUAAUACGUAGGGUGCAAGCGUUAAUCGGAAUUACUGGGCGUAAAGCGUGCGCAGGCGGUUCGGUAAGAAAGAUGUGAAAUCCCAGAGCUCAACUUUGGAACUGCAUUUUUAACUACCGGGCUAGAGUGUGUCAGAGGGAGGUGGAAUUCCGCGUGUAGCAGUGAAAUGCGUAGAUAUGCGGAGGAACACCGAUGGCGAAGGCAGCCUCCUGGGAUAACACUGACGCUCAUGCACGAAAGCGUGGGGAGCAAACAGG
Molecule: ribosomal RNA, 429 nt
Filed under: Acidobacteriota bacterium
Lineage: Bacteria; Pseudomonadati; Acidobacteriota
Description: Acidobacteria bacterium partial 16S ribosomal RNA
Rfam family: Bacterial small subunit ribosomal RNA
Source: RNAcentral